Molecule: ribosomal RNA, 165 nt
Filed under: uncultured bacterium
Lineage: Bacteria
Description: partial 16S ribosomal RNA
Rfam family: Bacterial small subunit ribosomal RNA
Source: RNAcentral
GCUAGUAAUCGCGGAUCAGCAUGCCGCGGUGAAUACGUUCUCGGGCCUUGUACACACCGCCCGUCACACCAUGGGAGUCGGUAACACCCGAAGUCUGUAGCCUGACGCAAGAGGGCGCAGCCGAAGGUGGGAUUGAUGACUGGGGUGAAGUCGUAACAAGGUACC